RNAcentral lists this long non-coding RNA (1443 nucleotides) under Homo sapiens (human). RNAcentral describes it as "non-protein coding lnc-RNF215-1:1". Lineage: Eukaryota; Metazoa; Chordata; Mammalia; Primates; Hominidae. The record is from RNAcentral.
GAGCUAAUGAAUACAUGGCACGGAGUUGGUGGGCGCCUGAGAGAGCUACUCAGCUGUGAGGUCCUUCCCCUGGACUUGAGCACAGGCCUUCUGGCUCAGGGUGCUGAGGGAUGGUGCUCCCCUGUGAGGGGGGUGCCCGGGGCACCCCAGCCUCCCUCAGGAACUCCCAGGCCCCUCAGAAGCAGGAAGUUGGGCUGACCAAAGCUGUGGUAGCUCAGCUAUAUACAUGGCCCCUCUUGACCCUUCUCUGUGAACUGAGGUGCUCUACCUGACGGCCUCUUCACCAAGGGAAAAUGCUUCAGGCAUUUGGGAGCGUGCGCCCUGAGAAGGCCUCAGCAAGUUUUUGGAGAUUGUCCUUCACAGAAACGGGGUCCCAUUAUAUUGUCCAGGCUGGUCUCAAACUCCUGGGCUCGAGUGAUCUGCCCGCCUCAGCCUCUCAAAUUGUUGGGAUUACAGGCAUGAGCCGCCGCACCCGGCCUGACGAGGCUUCUUGCUGCACUUAAAGGAAUGACAGCUAUAGAGGGCAUAUGGGACUGGAAGGCAUCGGAUCCAUAACAUCCUCACGCCUUCUGGAAAUGUGAAAAAUGUUUCACAAAAGCACAGCCUAAGGCCUCAUGUGAUGAGGUGGGCUCUCCACAAGUUCCCGGGGCAGAGUCUGAAGACCUGCUGCUGGAUAGGGGCUUCCUCCUGGUCCCCAAGGGCCCGCCCUCUCAGGCCCACCUUGAGGCCACCCUGCUGGGCCACUUCCCGGAUUUUGGACAGCAUUGAUUGGAGCCGCCCGUUCUCCUCCUGUAGGACCCGGAUGCGGAUGUCGUUGGACUGCACUUGCCUCUCCAUGUGAUCUGUGACGUUGCCAGAGUCUGUGGGACAUGUUAUCUGGGAUUCCACGCUGCUGGAUCUGCCUCCUGUGCCCAAUGGGACAGGACCUUAGAAGGGAGGCACACCAGCUUGGGCAGGUGGCCUGGAGGCACAAAGGAGCUGUGUAGUGCACCAGGCCUCCUAGCUCAUCUUCCUUCUCCCGAGGCCUUAUUCCCCCUUCCCUGUCCCCCAACCUGCAGGGAAGAUGACCAUAGUAUUAUAAAAUCUGAGAGCUGGGUGGGACCUAGAGCUCUCAAAAGACUUAGCAAGGCCGGGCGCGGUGGCUCACGCCUGUAAUCCCAGCACUUUGGGAGGCCCAGGUCAGGGGAUCAUUAAGUCAAGAGAUCAAGACCAUCCUGGCCAACAUGGUGAAACCCCGUCUCUACUAAAAAUAGAAAAAUGAGCUGGGUGUGGUGGCGGGCCCCCGUAGUCCCAGCUACUCAGGAGGCUGAGGCAGGAGAAUCACUUGAACCCAGGAGGUGGAGGUUGCAGUGAGCAGAGAUUGUGCCACUGCACUCCAGCCUGGCAACAGAGUGAGACUCUGUCUCAAAAAAAAAAAAAAAAAAAAAAAGACUUAGCAAAUAA